This is a long non-coding RNA of Apus apus (common swift), 5333 nucleotides long. RefSeq lists it as uncharacterized. The record is from RefSeq and is a predicted model, not a curated record. NCBI's taxonomy places the organism in Eukaryota, Metazoa, Chordata, Aves, Apodiformes, Apodidae. The transcript is spliced from 2 exons.
CUAAAUUAGUCAUGGGGUAGGUGGAAAUGUCACCUCUGGGAGCUCAGGGGCAGGCACAGAGCUGGGCGAGGGUGGAAUUGUCUUUCUUUCCCUGUCCCUUGAAGGCAGACAAGCUGCUCUCUCUUCACCUUCCUCUUCUUUUUUUCCCCCCAAUUCCUCUUUGAUUCUCUAAAAUGCAUCCAGAAAUGCCACGGGAAGGGAUUUUUUUGUGUUUGUUCCUUUCAACUUCUGAUAGGGAAGGCAGGGGAGCAAAUUUAUGAUCACUUUUUCACUUCUUUUUACUGAAGCUGUUCAGAGAAAGGAAUAUGCAGAGGCUGAUGAGUGAAUCCACUUGGACCAUGAUCUUUUGAACAUUUAGGAGGAACUUUUUGAACCCUGGGCUCAUUCCUCCUUCACAAAGUCAUACCAUGACAUUAGCUUCCAGCUCCAGUUCACUCAUGUAAAGUAGAGCUUUUUAAGGUCUGAAGAAGGGUUUUUUGGGCUCAAACUCUUGUUUGUCUCCCCUCAUCUAUGUCCGUUGAUCUAAUAAAAGAUGUUGCUUUUUUUCUGCAAAGCUGUUUUAUGCUCAUCAGCUGUAAAGUCAAGGCUCAGUGCUUGGAUAAAAUGAGCUGAUCAUGAAUAAACACGGACUGCAAAUUAGAAGAUUAUUAACUGUUAGAGGUGUAAGGUUCUGCAAAUCUUGCAGUGAAGAUUUUGAAGGCAAGAAAAUUGGUUUUAAGAUAAAACCUGGUAAAUUUUUGAGUGGGAUUAUAACAAAUGGUCUUUUCCUGUUCAUUUUCUGUGUGUCUAACAAACAGAUCUCAGCUAGUGUUUGUCACUGUAAUGAUUAUUUAUGGUCAACGUGAGGACACUAAUUGAUUAUUCCUGAAGAUACCCCUUGCAAAGUCGACUUUCACCACAAUUUCCAAAACACCUCCAUGCAAAGAUUGCUCCAGAGACAUUGGGAGCUGGAAUUCUUGAAAAGGAAGGAGUCUUGACUCGGGGAAAUCACAGCCCAGCAGCUGCUUGUCACUUUAAGCACAGCAUUUGCAGUGGGGAGUCACCCAGCCAGCCCCUCAGCUGCUGCCAGUUGUCCUGGCCACUGGAGCAGGGCUAAUUUACACCUGCUGCAAAUUUAACCUAAGAUAAGUUCUCUGCUCAAAUUUUUCAUGCCCCUUUCUUGUGUUUCUCUUCUCUCCCUCAGCUAGGAAAGCAUCUUGGUUAAGAAACCAGCCACUGUGUUUAUUUUACUGUUUGCUUUACCACAUUUGGCUUUAUGUCUAGGUGAAAACUGGGAGACUUGGAAUAAAAAUUAGGAAGGGACAGUGGUGUCAGCUCUGGCCUAGUCCUCUAUAUCACAGUCAUGCUCAUCCAAGUGUUGGAAUGUGCCCUCCUCAAGGUGAGUGAAAAUUGUCUUCUGCCAUGUUGGAUUUCCUAAUCUGAAUGUGCUUCAGAAAUACAGGCUGGGGUUUUGUGUUGAAAAAAGGCAGUAUUUAGCCUCAGAUGUCUCAAAAUACAGGGAGCAAGUAAGAAAUAAUUCUGGCAGUAACAGAAUUUUUAGUGUUUGGCUGAGUUGGUUUGGAUCAGUGAAUUCCAGAACAGUCAAGCCCCCCUAUCUUUAUAAAGAAUAUAAAACCUGUGUGUUUUUAUUCUGAGAACCAGAGGAAUGAAGGACAGAAAGCAUUUUUUUCUUUGUUUGGUUAUGUUUUUUUCAUUGCUUUAUUUUUGAGCUUAAGGUUACAAAUCUCAUUCAUGGAGCCCUCAGUGUAAAAGCUCAACCUUUCCUUCCUGGCCCCUCAGUUCUCCUGUGGAUGUGUCUGCCUUGAGUUUCUUUUUUUUCUAACACCCUUCUUCCUACUCAUCCCCCAAACACCCAGUGAAAUUGUAUUCACCCACAUAACUCAAAUUCUGGGAUUCCUGAAGCCUCAGCCUGGCUGUUCCUUUAGGUGCUGCCAUUUCCCUGCCUGUAUUUGGAGAUCUCCAGCAUUUCAGCUGUCUGCUCCCCUAAGAAAAAAAAUAGUCUGUCUGAAACAAAGGGUGGCAGUUACACUUCCCAGCUACAACAAACUUUACCCAACCUGUAAAAAUACCUCUAUGCAAAUGCCAAGUGUUCAUAAAUGCUUUUUUUAGCAAGUUAUGUUAGCUGCAUUUCUCAGUGACUUAUGUGUUGGUCAUCUGAAACUUCCUUUUUUUGUGCCUGUUUAUCCUGCAGAUACGUUAUCUGCUUGACACUUCACUAAUACAAAUGCCAUUCAAGAGUGUGUUUCAAUCCAGGACAGAAAGUGUUCCCUCUCUUUACAUUAUUUUUAGAAUACUAAUGUUUACUAAAAGUUAAAUAUUCAUCUUCUUUGUGAAAACGAAGCUCAAUUUGGCAGAAGCCAGUUUAAUAUUUGUGGAGCCAUCAUGAUAUCAUUUCCAUCUGCUAGUUUACAUUCUGUGAGUGCCCUGACCUUUCUGUUGCACAAUGUGACUCAUUUAUUCUACAGCUUUAAUUCAGAAUUUCAAUCCUGCACUCAUCAUAAGACAUUGUUUGUGGUUUGAGCAGGGUUAUGCCAAGGUUCCUUCCACUAGAGACUUGGAGGAGGGGGCUGGAUGAGGCAGCCUCCCAGCUAGGGAGGAACAGGCAGAGGAAUGAGAGUAAUUUUCACUGGUGAAUUUUGAAAUGAUGGGUUUAGUUCUUCUUUCCAGAGCGUUGUGUUAGUUGAGUUGCUAAGAGAGCCCUUCUCUGAGGCCUUGGAGGCUGCUGGUGUCUUGACAAUGCAGGGCCUGUCACACCUCUCUGGAGAGAGACUUUGGUUUUAAACAAAAACAAAGGAGAGAACAUCAGCAGAACAUUCCUCACUGAUGACCUGCAAGUAACCAGGACAGCUAAAAGGAAGGAAAACUGGGCUAGGAGAACAAUGAGCUUAAAUACUGGAAUGAUGUCCCAGUGAUAUGCAGGAUGGCUGUAAGCCAGGAGCUGCCACCUUUGGUGGUGACAUUUUCUGAUCCCACAGCUGCAGUUGGUGGCAGAGGGUCUGCAGUCCCCUGGGAGCAAGUGACAAACAUGUCACCCUCUGAGAACUUAAGGUGGGACUGGGGAGAAGCAGCUGUGCAGGCAAGAAAAACACAGGUGAAAAGAUUUCAGUACAUUAUGACUUGGGGGAUGUGGGAUUAACCCAGAGAAAAUAUUCUAGAGGGAAGGAAAUGAAUGAAAGGACAAGAGGGUGAGUGUAAAAGGGACAGGUUUAGAGGUAAUCUGAAGUGAGGACUAUGAGGGAAGGGAAAACUGGAGCCCAAAGGCAGCCAGCUCAUUGCUGAAGAAGUCCAGUCAGGGACAGAGAAAUUCUUCUACAUUCUCAGUUCCCAAAGUAUCAGGUUCUGCAGUUGUUUCCCUCCCCAUGCUGCACUUCCCAAGCUUUUCCUGCUUGGAGCCCUCUGGAGCUGUUGACCAUGAUGCUUCAAGAAAGGAUCCUCCUUAGAUUUCAGUGGCCUGCAUGAGGAAUUUGUUUCAUGGGAUUAGUGGACAUAGAAGCAAAAAUGAGUCAGAUAUGCAAGAAAUGCUUCUGUUUUGUAUCUGUGUGGUGCCAGGUGACAAUGGCAGUAAUUCCAGGGAUGCAUUCUUAAACAGAUGCCAAACAUUUCUAGCAUCAUUUGCCAGCUGACAUAUCUUUGUAGAUACAUGACAUUAAAUUAAUCCUGACCUGUGUGUUGCUGUAAGUUGUAUAGUAAGUAGUAACUAAUUGGAAGCAUUUUUAAAAGGUAAUAGAAUCCCAGUUUUUAACUCUCAGGUUUAUUUUCUAGGGGAGAUGAUGUCUCAUCUUGCUCCCCACCCAGCUGAAUCUUUUGGCUGAUGUAGAUCCUACUGAUGGAUGAGUAGAGAGGAAGCAAAAUGUGAAGAUAGUCUGGAAAGUGAAGAAGGGUGGAGAAUGACUAAGGCAUGAAAUCUGUGUUGAAGCUUUUUGCAGCAAACAGGCAGUGAAGAAGCUGAGCUGUGAGGCAUGUUGUCAAUGUCUGAUGAUUCAUCAAACACCCAAAAUAUUCUGACAGUGUUUCAGGUACAUUUGACAGACUCUUCACAACCAGUCAGAAUUGGUAAUACACAGACAACAGAGGGAAGUUUUUUCCUUUUCUUGCUUGUUAGAAGCUCAUCCCUGCUCCAGUCUGAGGUUGGUGGGGCUAAGUCAGCUCACAGGGCUUGGGGCUUCCCUGUGCUGUGGCCCUUGCUGCCCUGGCAUCCAUGGAAUCCCCAGGCUGCAAUCCUCCCACUCCACCUGCUUCUUGGAGAAACUCUCUCUCCCAACUGGAUUUCAUGAGGGGAAGCAGAGAAGCCCUUUGUGGUGGGAUAGCUGAUAAAAGGUGCAUUGAGAGAGCAAAUAAUUCAGCUGGGGGUAUGGGGAGGAGAAUGAAAGGCAACCACGGGGUCCCUGGUUUUCUCUUUAGCUUUUGUGUGUUGUUUGUCACCUCCAUGGGGUGCAUUUCUGGGUAAACUCUCUCUUUUAAACAUUUCUGCCAGUUCUAAAUGUUACCAAAGGUUUCUCAGCCCUUUUCUGCAUCCUUUAGCAUUCCUUCCUGACCCUUCCUUGCUGUUUCCACCUGCACCAUCCCAAUUCCUGCAUGACUGGUUCCUGUGAGAUGCUUCAGUUCCUGUCAGAACAUGGUGGUGUCAUUCCUCCCUGUGUCACUCAGACAUCCAGUUCAGGACUUCAGCCUUGGAGCCUCAGCCUUGAAAGCCACUUGCCAUGGAGUUCACAGUGGUCCCUUGUCCUCUGAGUUGUUUUGGCUUCAAUUUGGGUUAUUUGAAGUUCUGUUUUAAAGAAACUAAGAAUAUAAGUUCAGAUUUUCACGUGGGAUAUGUCUAGUGUGUACUUUAAGAUAGACUCUUCCUUCUCAUAACACUCAAGAAAAAUCAGUUGCUUAUCCAUAUCUAAUAACUUAUCCAUAUCUAAUAACUUAUCCAUAUCUAAUAACUUAUCCAUAUCUAAUAACUUAUCCAUAUCUAAUAACUUAUCCAUAUCUAAUAACUUAUCCAUAUCUAAUAACUUAUCCAUAUCUAAUAACUUAUCCAUAUCUAAUAACUUAUCCAUAUCUAAUAACUUAUCCAUAUCUAAUAACUUAUCCAUAUCUAAUAACUUAUCCAUAUCUAAUAACUUAUCCAUAUCUAAUAACUUAUCCAUAUCUAAUAACUUAUCCAUAUCUAAUAACUUAUCCAUAUCUAAUAACUUAUCCAUAUCUAAUAACUUAUCCACAUAUAAUCUUGGCAUAAAAAACAACUGAGUACACUCAGCAGGGUUUUCAGGGCUAAUACUUUGAAUAUAUUUUGAAAAGGAAAUGCUGGAAAUAGCAGAUAAGUUAAUAAAUGCACUUUUAUUCUU